Non-coding RNA from Pleurotus ostreatoroseus, 80 nucleotides. The record is from the annotation of a GenBank genome assembly. NCBI's taxonomy places the organism in Eukaryota, Fungi, Basidiomycota, Agaricomycetes, Agaricales, Pleurotaceae.
GGUUCGAUGGUGUAGUUGGUUAUCACAUUCGUCUCACAAGAGUUCACGAGAGGUCGCCGGUUCGAACCCGGCUCGAACCA